Molecule: transfer RNA, 67 nt
Filed under: Rhacodactylus willihenkeli
Lineage: Eukaryota; Metazoa; Chordata; Lepidosauria; Squamata; Diplodactylidae
Description: Rhacodactylus sp. KGeiss-2023a tRNA-Val
Rfam family: tRNA
About the family: Transfer RNA (tRNA) molecules are approximately 80 nucleotides in length. Their secondary structure includes four short double-helical elements and three loops (D, anti-codon, and T loops). Further hydrogen bonds mediate the characteristic L-shaped molecular structure. tRNAs have two regions of fundamental functional importance: the anti-codon, which is responsible for specific mRNA codon recognition, and the 3' end, to which the tRNAs corresponding amino acid is attached (by aminoacyl-tRNA synthetases). tRNAs cope with the degeneracy of the genetic code in two manners: having more than one tRNA (with a specific anti-codon) for a particular amino acid; and 'wobble' base-pairing, i.e. permitting non-standard base-pairing at the 3rd anti-codon position.
Source: RNAcentral
CAAGAAGUAGCUUACAUGAAAGCAUUUAACUUACAAUUAAAAAACGCCCACUCAAGGACCUUCUUGA